GUUAUUUUUUCAUUUACUAACUUUCUUUGUGAUAUUUGCUUCCGUUCGGACUAAUAAACCAGAUAUAAUCAUACCAGGGUUGAAUGAGGCUGAACAAAAGGAAUAUACAAAAUGCCUUAUAGGUGAG
This 127-nucleotide small RNA is filed under the name Drosophila ananassae. Its description in RNAcentral is "GF26963". The record is from RNAcentral. Lineage: Eukaryota; Metazoa; Arthropoda; Insecta; Diptera; Drosophilidae.